AAACCCCUCAAGCCUGGCUUGGUGUUGGGCGUCGGGCGUCGGCCCGCGCCUCUAUUCUGUCGGCUGGACGGUUGGUCAUCUCAGCGUUGUGCAAACGAAUCGCUUGGAGGACCGCCGGACGUGCCGUUAAACCCCCAUCAAA
RNAcentral lists this unclassified non-coding RNA (142 nucleotides) under uncultured fungus. RNAcentral's name for it is "sequence contains ITS2". The record is from RNAcentral. Lineage: Eukaryota; Fungi.